GCGCAGGCAAGUGUCCGUUCGUCGUGAAUCCAUGGUGGGCGCAGUCGCCGUCGUACGCAAACGUCAGUGCCGCCUGGGUGUGUUAUGCUGGUCACGCAGAUAAUUGCGCUUGAAGCUUAUAUGGCAGAGGACAUGUUAGUGAGUGCGAAUCACCAAGUGUUCUCAUUUGUGUGUACUCCAUUCGAGUACCGAGUGUAUGCCGUCCACGCAACAAGUGCGCUUCAAGCUUAUUUGCAGAGGACAAUUAUUUGCUGGCUGCACGAUGGAUCAAGUGAGAUGCAGCAUUCCAAGUCCAGGUAUUCGUUGCUGGGCGCGACACCACAGUCGGCCGGUCGCAGUCAUCAUUGAAGGAAACGGCACAGGCGAUUUCCAUGUAUUGGCAGAAUGACAACUCCCAGUGAACCGUGAGAUCGCAAUCCAUGUGCGACGAUCCAAGGCCCGAAGCUGCUGCUCUUCGUGUCCAGUGCUAUCCGAUGUACCGAUGUAUAAUGGCAACGCAACUGAAUGCACAUUUGGCGUAAUGGCAGAGAAUAUGUAUGUACGUGUAUUCUCGUUUGUAUGUAUGAGGAUUGUACGAAGUUUGCUGGCUACGCAAUGGAUGCGUUUGCAGCGUGUUGGCAGAAAAACAUAUAACUGGCUGGUGAUGGUGUUUUGUAGUUGCUGGCUGCACAAUGGAUCCAGUGAGAUGCAGUAUUCCAAGUCCAGGUAUUCGUUGCCGGGCGCAACACCACAGUCAGCCGGCCGUAGUCAUCAUUGAAGAAGCCGCCAUUUCGCCAGAAGGCGUAUGGGGCAUAGUUGGAAACGACGCAGGCGAUUUCCAUGUAUUGGCAGAAUGACAACUCCCAGUGAACUGCAAUAUCGCUAACCAUGCACAACGAUCCAGGGCCCGUAGCUGCUACUCGUCGUGUCCAGUGCUAUCCGAUGUACCGAUGUAUAAUGGCAAUGCAACUAAUGCACGUAUGGCGUAGUGGCAGAGAAUAUGUAUGUACUUAUGCAAUCAUGAUGACAAGUGCAAGUGACAAAUAUUCUCGUUUGUGUGUAUGAGCAUUGUACGAUGUUUUGCUGGCCACGCAACAGGUGCGUUCGCAGCGUAUUGGCAGAAAAAACAUAUUAUUGGCUGGUGAUGGUGUUAU
Molecule: long non-coding RNA, 1133 nt
Organism: Drosophila nasuta
Lineage: Eukaryota; Metazoa; Arthropoda; Insecta; Diptera; Drosophilidae
Exons: 4
Source: RefSeq, a predicted model, not a curated record